This is a long non-coding RNA of Erinaceus europaeus (western European hedgehog), 2021 nucleotides long. RefSeq lists it as uncharacterized. NCBI's taxonomy places the organism in Eukaryota, Metazoa, Chordata, Mammalia, Eulipotyphla, Erinaceidae. The transcript has 2 exons. The record is from RefSeq and is a predicted model, not a curated record.
UGGAAAAAGUUAGUAGGUCUAUUUUAGGUAUAUUCCAGAAGGCCCAUGAUUUUACUAAAUUUUGCCUGAGUCUGACAGCUAACAAUUCAAAAGACUUUCAUACCUGAGGCUCUGUGGUCCCAGGUUCAAUCCCUAGCACUACCAUAAACUAGAGCUGAGCAGUGCUCUUGUAUCUCUCUCUCUGUCUCCAGAGUUAUAGCUGGGGCUCGGCAUCAGCACUAUGAAACUAUGAACUGCUCCUGUUGGCCAUUUUUCCCAUUUUAUUGGAUAGGACAGAGGAAAAUUGAGAGAGAAGGAAGAGAGGGAAAGAGAGAGAGAGAGAGAGUGCAAACGAGAUACACACACACAGCAGUUGAGACAGAGAGAGAGAGAGAGAGAGAGAGAGAGAGAAACAGAGACCUGCAGACCUGCUUCACCGCUUGUGAAGCUGCAGGUGCGGAGGAAGGGCUCGAACCUGGGUUCUUGUGCUUAGUACUAUGUGCGCUAAACUGGGUGCACCACUACCCGGCCCCUCUAUUUCUCCUUCUCUUUCACUAAAAAAAUAUUAAUAAUAUAAAUAAAUAAAUGAAUAAAAUAUCGAAAAUAAAACUCUGCUGAAUAACAGUUUAGUCGCAGUUUUCCCAACACACUCUCAGCAUUUCAAGAAUGUCUCUAAGUCUGUUUUUGCUUUUGCACCUUCCUGUGUGAGCAGACAUCCAUCCAAGCACGUCAAGUCUCGAGACAGCCUGUGUGACGCCAAAGAUGGACUACUUUCAACACUCACAGCUCCUGAGGAGGGGUUUUGCUUCACAAUUAUAACAUUCCUUUCCGCCAGCCCCCAGUCUGCCAGACACCAAGGGCACUUACAAAGAGCACCACACCCUUAGAUGCCAGGACCACCGGCGAAAGAUGACUCCAGCAAACAUUUUUAAAAGCAAUCACAAGCACACGCCUCACCCCAUGAUGAUGCAGAUUCACAAGCGCUCAGAUCAGUCUUCUCGGCCACAAAGAAGCUCUCAAAUGGUCUAAGGAGAAACUCUAAAAUAUUGACUCUAUAAGUAGCGUGCUGUAAGUAGUGUUUGACUUCAUUCACUUCCCUGUCCUCCCUCCCUACCGUAAGUUGCAGUCUUCAAAACAAAGCCAUCACUCCAUUAAUUACAAAGGGGGAACAAAAGGGUAUUGAUCUUAAGCAGUUCCAUUCUGCAUGUUUAGUAUUAACUGAAAGUUAUUCCUCUGACACCACUUAAAAGAAGGCUUCUGAGGCCCUAUAGAAAGUAUUGCUUUGAUGACCUCACCAAUGUGUCCCAGAACCUCACCCCUCCAGUGCCCUGCCCCACUAGGGGGAGAGAAACAGGCUGGGGUAUGAAUCCAUCUGCCAGUGCCCAUGUUCAGCGGAUAAACAAUGACAGAAGCCAGAACUCCCACCUUCGGCACCCCCAAAAGAAUUUUGGUUCAUACACCCAAAGGGGGAGAAAUGAUAGUGGGAAAAUGACCAGAGGGCUCUGACUUCCAACUUCAUCAGGACCCAGAGAGAGAAGAGGAAAAAGGGGCAUUCAGAAAUAGUACUAGGUAUAGUUGUAACUUGGAAAGGAAGAGAAAGCAGGACCAUAAGGAAAAAGAAGGGCAAAUAUAUAUAUAUAAAUAUAGACAAAUAGUUGUAAAAAUAAUAGUCCAAGGGCCAGGUGGCGGUGCACCUGAUUGAACACACAUGUUACAAUGCACAAGGAUCUGGGUUCAUACCCCUAGAUUCCACCUGCAGGGGGAAAGCUUCAUGAGUGGUGAAGUAGUGCUACAGAUGUCUCUUUCUCUCCCCCUCUAUCUCCCCCUUCCUCUCAAUUUAUGGCUGACUCUAUCAAAUAAAUAAAGAUAAUAAAAAAUUUAAAAAUAAUAGUUAACCCAUAUCUGCAACCUUGGGAGAACUUUGUAGCUUCCAAUGGAGGAAAUCAGGACAUAGAACUCCCUUGUUAUAUCUUUAUACCUCUGUUAUCUUAUAAUUUUGUAAAUCAUUAUUAAGUCACUAAUAAAACUAUAUCAAAAAGAAA